GCCUGCGGUUAUAGCACGUUGAAUACUCGUAAAUCAGUUCUCAAUGGAUCACUGAACUUAAGCAACGUUUUGCGUGGUUGGUAUCUGGAUGGAUGACCAUCUGGACAAACGCGUGCUGCUGACC
RNAcentral lists this ribosomal RNA (124 nucleotides) under Diaphorina citri (Asian citrus psyllid). The record is from RNAcentral. Lineage: Eukaryota; Metazoa; Arthropoda; Insecta; Hemiptera; Psyllidae.